RNAcentral lists this ribosomal RNA (497 nucleotides) under uncultured bacterium. RNAcentral describes it as "partial 16S ribosomal RNA". It matches the Rfam family "Bacterial small subunit ribosomal RNA", at positions 28 to 507 of the family's 1533-position model. The record is from RNAcentral.
GAUGAACGCUGGCGGCGUGCCUAAUACAUGCAAGUCGAGCGAACAGACGAGGAGCUUGCUCCUCUGACGUUAGCGGCGGGCGGGUGAGUAACACGUGGAUAACCUACCUAUAAGACUGGGAUAACUUCGGGAAACCGGAGCUAAUACCGGAUAAUAUAUUGAACCGCAGGGUUCAAUAGUGAAAGACGGUUUUGCUGUCACUUAUAGAUGGAUCCGCGCCGCAUUAGCUAGUUGGUAAGGUAACGGCUUACCAAGGCAACGAUGCGUAGCCGACCUGAGAGGAUGAUCGGCCACACUGGAACUGAGACACGGUCCAGACUCCUACGGGAGGCAGCAGUAGGGAAUCUUCCGCAAUGGGCGAAAGCCUGACGGAGCAACGCCGCGUGAGUGAUGAAGGUCUUCGGAUCGUAAAACUCUGUUAUUAGGGAAGAACAAAUGUGUAUGUAACUAUGCACGUCUUGACGGUACCUAAUCAGAAAGCCACGGCUAACUACGUG